Molecule: unclassified non-coding RNA, 329 nt
Filed under: soil metagenome
Description: partial contains 5.8S ribosomal RNA, internal transcribed spacer 2, and large subunit ribosomal RNA
Rfam family: 5.8S ribosomal RNA (bases 1-120)
Source: RNAcentral
GAUGAAGAACGUAGCGAAAUGCGAUAAGUAAUGUGAAUUGCAGAAUUCAGUGAACCAUCGAAUCUUUGAACGCACAUUGCGCCCCCUGGUAUUCCGGGGGGCAUGCCUGUCCGAGCGUCAUUACAACCCUCAAGCUCAGCUUGGUAUUGGGCCCCGCCGCUUCGGCGGGCCCUAAAGUCAGUGGCGGUGCCGUCCGGCUCCGAGCGUAGUAAUUCUUCUCGCUCUGGAGGCCCGGUCGUGUGCUUGCCAGCAACCCCCAAUUUUUUUCGGGUUGACCUCGGAUCAGGUAGGGAUACCCGCUGAACUUAAGCAUAUCAAUAAGCGGAGGA